CUGCUUGGUUUAUUUCAAAAAAAAAGUGAAAGAGAAACAGAAGUGGAAAGAACAUGACAGCUAGGAAGGGGAAGAAAUCGGCAGCUCUCCUGCCUAGUUCAUUUCGAAAAAAAUAAAUAGUGGAAGAGAAACCGAAGUGGAAAGAACAUGACAGCUAGGAAGGGGAAGAAUAAUUAAACCCAGCGACUACUCCUUAAUUUCUCCCAAAACUCAGUUUCAAGGCAUUUGUAGCGUUGCAUAUAUAGUCAUCAUAACUCAGUCUCGUCAACGUGAAUUGGCUAGUGCAGCACAUAGCGUGAAUCGAUACGCCAACUAAAAAGAUUGUUGAAUCGAGAAAAUAACACAAGGUAGGGAAGAAAAAAAUUAUAUGCCUAUAAUUUCCUUGGUAAGAAAAAAAGAAAUAUAUGACAUGCCACCUAGGGAAAGGGAAAAGGGAAAAGCAUGCUGCUUGGGACGGGGAAAAAUAAACCCAAUGACUAGAAUCUAGUUUCUAGCAAAAAAAAAUAUGUUUCAAAUUGAAGCAUUUAUAGAGCU
Molecule: long non-coding RNA, 534 nt
Filed under: Sorghum bicolor (sorghum)
Lineage: Eukaryota; Viridiplantae; Streptophyta; Magnoliopsida; Poales; Poaceae
Description: long non-coding RNA (SBIC_LNC002003)
Source: RNAcentral